This 218-nucleotide ribosomal RNA is filed under the name uncultured bacterium. RNAcentral describes it as "partial 16S ribosomal RNA". It matches the Rfam family "Bacterial small subunit ribosomal RNA", at positions 118 to 334 of the family's 1533-position model. The record is from RNAcentral.
UGGGCAACCUGCCCUGUACUGGGGAAUAAUCAUUGGAAACGAUGACUAAUACCGCAUGUGGUCCUCGGAAGGCAUCUUCUGAGGAAGAAAGGAUUUAUUUGGUACAGGAUGGGCCCGCAUCUGAUUAGCUAGUUGGUGAGAUAACAGCCCGCCAAGGCGACGAUCAGUAGCCGACCUGAGAGGGUGAUCGGCCACAUUAGGACUGAGACACGGCCCAA